AGCCCGGUAGUGUAGCGGUCAAUCAUGCGGGACUCUGGAUCCUGCGACCAAGGUUCGAAUCCUUGCCGGGCUACCA
RNAcentral lists this transfer RNA (76 nucleotides) under Candidatus Methanoperedens sp. RNAcentral's name for it is "tRNA-Gln". It matches the Rfam family "tRNA". From Rfam's summary of the family: Transfer RNA (tRNA) molecules are approximately 80 nucleotides in length. The record is from RNAcentral. Lineage: Archaea; Methanobacteriati; Methanobacteriota; Methanomicrobia; Methanosarcinales; Candidatus Methanoperedentaceae. RNAcentral also lists the same sequence under 2 other names.